CCUACGGGCGGCAGCAGUGAGGAAUAUUGGUCAAUGGACGCAAGUCUGAACCAGCCAUGCCGCGUGCAGGAAGAAGGUGCCAAGAGUUGUAAACUGCUUUUGUCCGAGGGCAAACGCAGACACGCGUAUCUGUCCGAAAGUACUGUACGAAUAAGCAUCGGCUAACUCCGUGCCAGCAGCCGCGGUAAUACGGAGGAUUCAAGCGUUAUCCGGAUUUAUUGGGUUUAAAGGGUGCGUAGGCGGGCGGAUAAGUUAGUUGUGAAAGUCUGAGGCUCAACUUUGGAAUUGCAUUUGAUACUGGUAGUCUAGAGAAUAGUUGAGGUAGGCGGAAUGCAUGGUGUAGCGGUGAAAUGCUUAGAGAUCACACAGAACCCCGAUUGCGAAGGCAGCUUACCAAGCUACUUCUGACAUUGAUGCACGAAAGCGUGGGGAGCAAACAGGAUUAGAUACCCCUGUAGUC
RNAcentral lists this ribosomal RNA (460 nucleotides) under uncultured bacterium. Its description in RNAcentral is "partial 16S ribosomal RNA". It matches the Rfam family "Bacterial small subunit ribosomal RNA", at positions 338 to 795 of the family's 1533-position model. The record is from RNAcentral.